Molecule: ribosomal RNA, 492 nt
Filed under: uncultured bacterium
Lineage: Bacteria
Description: partial 16S ribosomal RNA
Rfam family: Bacterial small subunit ribosomal RNA
Source: RNAcentral
AGUGAACGCUGGCGGUAGGCCUAACACAUGCAAGUCGAACGGCAGCACAGUAAGAGCUUGCUCUUACGGGUGGCGAGUGGCGGACGGGUGAGGAAUACAUCGGAAUCUACUUUUUCGUGGGGGAUAACGUAGGGAAACUUAUGCUAAUACCGCAUACGACCUACGGGUGAAAGCAGGGGAUCUUCGGACCUUUCGCGAUUGAAUGAGCCGAUGUCGGAUUAGCUAGUUGGCGGGGUAAAGGCCCACCAAGGCGACGAUCCGUAGCUGGUCUGAGAGGAUGAUCAGCCACACUGGAACUGAGACACGGUCCAGACUCCUACGGGAGGCAGCAGUAGGGAAUAUUGGACAAUGGGCGCAAGCCUGAUCCAGCCAUACCGCGUGAGUGAAGAAGGCCUUCGGGUUGUAAAGCCCUUUUGUUGGGAAAGAAAAACAGCAGGUUAAUACCCCGCUGUUCUGACGGUACCCAAAGAAUAAGCACCGGCUAACUUCGUG